GCUGAGGUAGUUUAUUUAGAACAGUAGCCUGUCUAGCUAAAAGUACCUAGAAGAAAUGGGUGCUCGGUU
This 69-nucleotide transfer RNA is filed under the name Anadara pilula. RNAcentral describes it as "tRNA-Asp". The record is from RNAcentral. Lineage: Eukaryota; Metazoa; Mollusca; Bivalvia; Arcoida; Arcidae.